This 395-nucleotide ribosomal RNA is filed under the name Noturus gyrinus (tadpole madtom). RNAcentral's name for it is "partial 16S ribosomal RNA". It matches the Rfam family "Bacterial large subunit ribosomal RNA", at positions 1993 to 2558 of the family's 2925-position model. The record is from RNAcentral. Lineage: Eukaryota; Metazoa; Chordata; Actinopteri; Siluriformes; Ictaluridae.
UGAAUGGUGGAACGAGGGCUUAACUGUCUCCCUUUUCAAGUCAAUGAAAUUGAUCUGCCCGUGCAGAAGCGGACAUACAUAUACAAGACGAGAAGACCCUUUGGAGCUUAAGACACAAGAUCAACUAUGUCAAGACCCAGUAAACUAAAUAGCACCUGGUCCUAGUCUUCAGUUGGGGCGACCACGGGAGAAAACAAAGCUCCCACGCGGACCGGGCGUAUUACCCCAAAACCAAGAAAAACAACUCUAAGUGCAGAAUUUCUGACCAAAAGAUCCGGCCACCGCCGCCAGCGAACCAAGUUACCCUAGGGAUAACAGCGCAAUCCCCUUUCAGAGUCCAUAUCGACAAGGGGGUUACGACCUCGAUGUUGGAUCAGGACAUCCUAAUGGUGCAG